GGAAUAUUGGACAAUGGGCGCAAGCCUGAUCCAGCAACGCCGCGUGUGUGAAGAAGGUCUUCGGAUCGUAAAGCACUUUCGGCGGGGACGAUGAUGACGGUACCCGCAGAAGAAGCCCCGGCUAACUUCGUGCCAGCAGCCGCGGUAAUACGAAGGGGGCUAGCGUUGCUCGGAAUUACGGUGCGUAAAGGGCGCGUAGGCGGCUUGGCCAGUCAGGCGUGAAAUUCCUGGGCUUAACCUGGGGACUGCGCUUGAUACUGCUAGGCUUGAGGCCGAGAGAGGGUGGUGGAAUUCCCAGUGUAGAGGUGAAAUUCGUAGAUAUUGGGAAGAACACCGGUGGCGAAGGCGACCACCUGGCUCGGUACUGACGCUGAGGCGCGACAGCGUGGGGAGCAAAC
This 398-nucleotide ribosomal RNA is filed under the name uncultured bacterium. RNAcentral describes it as "bacterial SSU rRNA". It matches the Rfam family "Bacterial small subunit ribosomal RNA", at positions 358 to 773 of the family's 1533-position model. The record is from RNAcentral.